UAGGGAAUCUUCGGCAAUGGACGAAAGUCUGACCGAGCAACGCCGCGUGAGUGAAGAAGGUUUUCGGAUCGUAAAACUCUGUUGUUAGAGAAGAACAAGGACGUUAGUAACUGAACGUCCCCUGACGGUAUCUAACCAGAAAGCCACGGCUAACUACGUGCCAGCAGCCGCGGUAAUACGUAGGUGGCAAGCGUUGUCCGGAUUUAUUGGGCGUAAAGCGAGCGCAGGCGGUUUCUUAAGUCUGAUGUGAAAGCCCCCGGCUCAACCGGGGAGGGUCAUUGGAAACUGGGAGACUUGAGUUCCGAAGAGGAGAGUGGAAUUCCAUGUGUAGCGGUGAAAUGCGUAGAUAUAUGGAGGAACACCAGUAGCGAAUGCGGCUCUCUGGUCUGUAACUGACGCUGAGGCUCGAAAGCGUGGUGAGCAAACAGG
Molecule: ribosomal RNA, 429 nt
Filed under: Gemmatimonadota bacterium
Lineage: Bacteria; Pseudomonadati; Gemmatimonadota
Description: Gemmatimonadetes bacterium partial 16S ribosomal RNA
Rfam family: Bacterial small subunit ribosomal RNA
Source: RNAcentral